GUAGGUGGCAAGCGUUGUCCGGGAAUUAUUGGGGCGUAGAGCGCGCGCAGGCGGUUCUUUAAGUCUGAUGUGAAAGCCCACGGGCUCAACCGUGGAGGGUCAUUGGAAACUGGAGAACUUGAGUACAGAAGAGGAAAGCGGAAUUCCACGUGUAGCGGUGAAAUGCGUAGAGAUGUGGAGGAACACCAGUGGCGAAGGCGGCUUUCUGGUCUGUAACUGACGCUGAGGCGCGAAAGCGUGGGGAGCAAACAGGAUUAGAUACCCUGGUAGUCCACGCCGUAAACGAUGAGUGCUAAGUGUUAGGGGGUUUCCGCCCCUUAGUGCUGCAGCUAACGCAUUAAGCACUCCGCCUGGGGAGUACGGCCGCAAGGCUG
RNAcentral lists this ribosomal RNA (374 nucleotides) under uncultured organism. Its description in RNAcentral is "partial 16S ribosomal RNA". It matches the Rfam family "Bacterial small subunit ribosomal RNA", at positions 527 to 896 of the family's 1533-position model. The record is from RNAcentral.